RNAcentral lists this long non-coding RNA (667 nucleotides) under Actinidia chinensis (golden kiwifruit). RNAcentral describes it as "long non-coding RNA (ACHI_LNC004044)". Lineage: Eukaryota; Viridiplantae; Streptophyta; Magnoliopsida; Ericales; Actinidiaceae. The record is from RNAcentral.
UACCAAACAUCCCCUUAAUGUUCCUAUGAGAACAAGCAAUGAAAAUCUGUACAAAAAUGGACGUAAAUUCUAACAAAUCUUUGGAAAGGAGUAGUAUUAACAGAACAAAAUAACCAUUACAUCCAGAAUCCAACAAAGAAUUACAACAAACUAAUGAAUUCCUAAGCAUCAUUUCCCAGCAACAAAUGUAUAAUUUUCCUAAUUAUAACAAAUAGUUGAAACAAAAGUUUCGCCAACCGAAAAAUCGGCAAUUCUGUAAUGCCAAACAAAGUCUUCUGAUUUUCUUUAGAACCAGAAGCAGCUUUGGACAUGAUAGCUUCAGCAGAUUUGUGAUCACCCUUAUUGUGGGGACAAGUUUAGAAUGCGGAAAUCGAGAGUAGACACCCACUAAGAGCCCUUCUCUUUGCUCCUGCAAAGCUGAACGCCAAGCUACACGAUCAACUUCAGUAACUGCACAUGCACAAUGGUGAGACUAGCCGCCGGAGCUGUUUUCGAAAAAUGGCUCUCCGACGGUCAAAUCAGGUGACCGGAAUAUUAGUAUCGAGUAUCUCAGAAAGAGAAAGAGAGAGAAGGAUGAGAGGAGAGAGAGAGAUAAAGCCCUGCCCCUCACAGUGACCUCUGCUUAUAUAGUUUAGCUCGGCGUGCCUUGACGUGCCAACGGUCGUGU